This 301-nucleotide ribosomal RNA is filed under the name uncultured bacterium. RNAcentral's name for it is "partial 16S ribosomal RNA". It matches the Rfam family "Bacterial small subunit ribosomal RNA", at positions 509 to 807 of the family's 1533-position model. The record is from RNAcentral.
CAGCCGCCACGGUAACACGUAGGUGGCAAGCGUUGUCCGGAAUUAUUGGGCGUAAAGGGCUCGCAGGCGGUUUCUUAAGUCUGAUGUGAAAGCCCCCGGCUCAACCGGGGAGGGUCAUUGGAAACUGGGAAACUUGAGUGCAGAAGAGGAGAGUGGAAUUCCACGUGUAGCGGUGAAAUGCGUAGAGAUGUGGAGGAACACCAGUGGCGAAGGCGACUCUCUGGUCUGUAACUGACGCUGAGGAGCGAAAGCGUGGGGAGCGAACAGGAUUAGAUACCCCCGUAGUCCCUGUCUCUUAUAC